Molecule: ribosomal RNA, 253 nt
Filed under: uncultured bacterium
Lineage: Bacteria
Description: partial 16S ribosomal RNA
Rfam family: Bacterial small subunit ribosomal RNA
Source: RNAcentral
UACGUAGGGUGCAAGCGUUAAUCGGAAUUACUGGGCGUAAAGCGUGCGCAGGCGGUUUUGUAAGUCUGUCGUGAAAGCCCCGGGCUCAACCUGGGAAUUGCGAUGGAGACUGCAAGGCUUGAAUCUGGCAGAGGGGGGUAGAAUUCCACGUGUAACAGUGAAAUGCGUAGAGAUGUGGAGGAACACCGAUGGCGAAGGCAGCCCCCUGGGUCAAGAUUGACGCUCAUGCACGAAAGCGUGGGGAGCAAACAGG